GCUUACUUGAAAUUAUUCUUGUGAGAAUUAGGUAAUGAGAGUUCGUUUUCAGCUAAAAAUCGAACUCUUUUUUUAUUAAAAA
RNAcentral lists this small RNA (82 nucleotides) under Prochlorococcus marinus subsp. pastoris str. CCMP1986. RNAcentral's name for it is "Cyanobacterial functional RNA 19". It matches the Rfam family "Cyanobacterial functional RNA 19". Lineage: Bacteria; Bacillati; Cyanobacteriota; Cyanophyceae; Synechococcales; Prochlorococcaceae. The record is from Rfam by way of RNAcentral.